CCGGGGAUGACACUUCGAAACUAAAGUUGAAAUUGACAUUGAUUAGUGACAUGACUUAGCACGGUUUUUCGCCGGGCAUGACACCUUUGAAAUUUGAAAUUGAAAUGAAAGACGCUUUACUCGUAGAAACUUGCGGCUUGACGCAAUGGUAAACUAAGACUGAACCGAAGUGACAUGACCGAAUCGAUUGAUGAGUUUAUGUAUGAAUUGAUGUCGUGCGCAUGUUGUGUACGCAUGAACGCAUGAUUAUCAGUAAAUGCAUGAUUGUUAUGAGUUUGUG
This 280-nucleotide long non-coding RNA is filed under the name Medicago truncatula (barrel medic). RNAcentral describes it as "long non-coding RNA (MTRU_LNC006913)". Lineage: Eukaryota; Viridiplantae; Streptophyta; Magnoliopsida; Fabales; Fabaceae. The record is from RNAcentral.